Molecule: ribosomal RNA, 468 nt
Filed under: uncultured bacterium
Lineage: Bacteria
Description: partial 16S ribosomal RNA
Rfam family: Bacterial small subunit ribosomal RNA
Source: RNAcentral
GACGAACGCUGGCGGCGUGCUUAACACAUGCAAGUCGAACGGAAAGGCCCUGCUUUUGUGGGGUGCUCGAGUGGUGAACGGGUGAGUAACACGUGAGUAACCUGCCCUUGACUUUGGGAUAACUUCAGGAAACUGGGGCUAAUACCGGAUAGGAGCUCCUGCUGCGUGGUGGGGGUUGGAGAGUGUCGGCGGUUGGGGAUGGACUCGCGGCUUAUCAGCUUGAUGGUGGGGUAGGGGCUUACCAAGGCUUUGACGGGUAGCCGGCCUGAGAGGGUGACCGGCCACAUUGGGACUGAGAUACGGCGCAGACUGCUACGGGAGGCAGCAGGGGGGAAUAUGGCACAAUGGGCGCGAGCCUGAUGCAGCGACGCCGCGUGCGGGAUGACGUCCUUCGGGUUGUAAACCGCUUUCGCCUGUGACGAAGCGUGAGUGACGGUAAUGGGUAAAGAAGCACCGGCUAACUACGUG